Molecule: ribosomal RNA, 426 nt
Filed under: uncultured cyanobacterium
Lineage: Bacteria; Bacillati; Cyanobacteriota
Description: bacterial SSU rRNA
Rfam family: Bacterial small subunit ribosomal RNA
Source: RNAcentral
GGGAAUUUUCCGCAAUGGGCGAAAGCCUGAUGGAGCAAUCCCGCGUGCAGGAUGACACCCUUCGGGGCGUAAACUGCUUUUCUGAGGGAAGAAAUUUUGACGGUACCUCAGGAAUAAAGGGCGGCUAAUUACGUGCCAGCAGCCGCGGUAAUACGUAAGCCCUAAGCGUUAUCCGGAAUUAUUGGGCGUAAAGCGUUCGAAGGCGGACUGGUCAGUCUGACGUUAAAUACCUGCGGCUCAACCGAGGUCUCGUGUCGGAUACUGCCAGACUUGAGGAAGGCAGAGGCAGGUGGAAUUUCCAUUGUAGGGGUAAAAUCCGUAGAUAAUGGAAGGAACACCAAAAGCGAAGGCAGCCUGCUGGGCCUUUCCUGACGCUGUGCGAACGAAAGCGUGGGGAGCAAAAGGGAUUAGAUACCCCUGUAGUCA